GCUGUAGCUCAGUGGUAGAGGAUUUGCUUUUCAUGCAGAGGCCUUGGGUUCAAUUCCUGGUAUCUCUG
Non-coding RNA from Podarcis lilfordi (Lilford's wall lizard), 68 nucleotides. NCBI's taxonomy places the organism in Eukaryota, Metazoa, Chordata, Lepidosauria, Squamata, Lacertidae. The record is from the annotation of a GenBank genome assembly.